Molecule: non-coding RNA, 25 nt
Filed under: Cricetulus griseus (Chinese hamster)
Lineage: Eukaryota; Metazoa; Chordata; Mammalia; Rodentia; Cricetidae
Source: RNAcentral
AGCAGUCAUAGGUCAGAGGACAGUG